This 45-nucleotide non-coding RNA is filed under the name Trichobilharzia regenti. The record is from RNAcentral. Lineage: Eukaryota; Metazoa; Platyhelminthes; Trematoda; Strigeidida; Schistosomatidae.
AUUCCGAUGACAAGUCCGAAAUAGGACGAAAUGCGUAUCCUGGAU